ACUCCUACGGGAGGCAGCAGUGGGGAAUAUUGCACAAUGGGGGAAACCCUGAUGCAGCCAUGCCGCGUGUGUGAAGAAGGCCUUCGGGUUGUAAAGCACUUUCAGUAGGGAGGAAGGUAGUGUAGUUAACACCUGCAUUAUUUGACGUUACCUACAGAAGAAGCGCCGGCUAACUCCGUGCCAGCAGCCGCGGUAAUACGGAGGGUGCGAGCGUUAAUCGGAAUUACGUGGGCGUAAAGCGCAUGCAGGCGGCCUGUUAAGUCAGAUGUGAAAGCCCGGGGCUUAACCUCGGAAUUGCAUUUGAAACUGGCAGGCUAGAGUCUUGUAGAGGGGUUAGAAUUUCAGGUGUAGCGGUGAAAUGCGUAGAGAUCUGAAGGAAUACCAGUGGCGAAGGCGGCCCCCUGGACAAAGACUGACGCUCAGAUGCGAAAGCGUGGGAGCAAACAGGAUUAGAUACCCCUGGUAGACUGUCA
This 473-nucleotide ribosomal RNA is filed under the name uncultured bacterium. RNAcentral's name for it is "bacterial SSU rRNA". It matches the Rfam family "Bacterial small subunit ribosomal RNA", at positions 335 to 802 of the family's 1533-position model. The record is from RNAcentral.